Molecule: long non-coding RNA, 2807 nt
Organism: Brienomyrus brachyistius
Lineage: Eukaryota; Metazoa; Chordata; Actinopteri; Osteoglossiformes; Mormyridae
Exons: 3
Source: RefSeq, a predicted model, not a curated record
UUUCAAACUGUGCGCAAAUAGACUCAACCUCCACUUUUAAUGUACUCUAUCAAUUAUUGACAACACUGGAGGUGGGAUAUCACGCCGCUACAGGCAACACACCUAAGAGAAGAACAUUCAAGAGUCAGGAUCAUUCCUCCGGUGUGGACAAAUUGAUCCGUAAGGUUUGGCAAAACAAGCACGUGGCGUCACAUGUAGUGGAUCGCGUCCCCGUUUGUACCUGCAUAUAUUUAUUUCAUUCGAAAGGUGCUGUAAUGGGAUUUCAGAUGUAAGUAAUAGUUCGAAUUGAACUCUAACAUAUUCAGAAGUGUCCCUUACAUCACUGAGUUCUUACAAUGGAAAUCAGUGUGGGUUAUGUAUGCAUUCAAGCAUGUCUUAUCUUAUUUGGGAGUGGCUAAUUUUGGAUAUGAGUGACGCCAGUAGUCAAUAACAGUUGUGGGCGUUGUGUAUCAGUAGAUCAAAAUGAGAAACAGUUAUUUUCACAUGACCGCGUACUAAUUAUUAUUCUUAUUGGGAAUGAAGUGAACAAACCGAUAAUUAAAGGCCCUCUGUGUCAAUUGUGGACAUUGUUUCUGGUUCUGAGAAAGUGAUAGAGAGGUUCUGAUGACGUGGUUCUGCAGAUUUAAUGCCAUAAUACAGAUUUUGAAAGCAUAGUAUGGUACCAGUCCUUGCCGAAGUCAGAAUGCUAAUCUCAAACUAGCCCUAUAUAGGUCACCUGUCUUCCUCAAGUAGUCAUGUCCUGAUCAAGGAAUCUCACCUGGAAAUCCACGGCCUGCUUUUACAGGUAUUACUCUGUCAAGAAGUGCCUGGUUUCAUUAAGAAGCUGGGAAGUAUUACAGCAUGAUUUAUUUCAGAAGGCAUUUCCCUGAGAAGUAUGAUCGACUAGUUGUUUCUUGGAGCUUCUAAUUGGUCCAUGUCCUCCCAGAAGCAAAAGUGACUGGAUGCUGGGACAUUCCAGCAGAAUGCCAUCCACAAAUCCAUACAUUCUGAUGCCUACCUCUGGUCAAAGCAGCUGCGUGCAUGUUUGUCUCAGCUGUUGAGUUAUUCCAUCCACCACAAUGUGACAUCAUCUGCACUGGUGAAUAUUCAGGCAGUGGAAGUAGAGGUUGUGUUGGUCUACAGAUACCUGGGUGUUCACCUCAAUAGGAAACUGGACAGGUCACGCAAUAUAGAUGCUCUGAACAAGAAGGGCCAAAGUCGUCUUCACCUGCUGAGAAGACUGAGGUCCUUCGGUGUGUGUGCAGGACACUGUUAAGGGCAUUUUAGGACACAGUAGUCGUAUCUUCAAUAUUCUGUGCAGUGGUCCGCUGGGGAUGCAGGAACUCAGAGAGGGAGAGGAAGAGACCGAAUAAGGAGUGUUGGUUCUGUCUUGGGCUGCUCUUUGGACUCUACUAAGAAGGUGUGUGAGUGGAGGUUGUUGGCUAAACUUACAUCCAUCAUGGACAAUCCCUCUCACCCCCUGCACACGACAGUGGGAGCGUUACGCAGCUCCUACACCCAUCAUAUAAGAAGGAUCACUUCUGCAAGUUUUUCAUUCCAUCUGACAUUAGACUCUAUAACACCACAGUCAACUAAAGACCAUUCAUUUCUCCAGCUGAAUGUCCUUAACACAUGAAUGUUCUUCACAUAUGCACAGUUUCCACUGCAUAUGUGUAACUUCUAUAUUCAUAUCCACUGGGUGAAAUAUCUAUAUUUAUAUCAAAAGUCUGCUUAAGUUUCUGCUUGGCACCACUUAGAUAUUGAAUGUUCAUUACAUCUGUGCAAUAUCCACUGCAUAUGUGCAAUAUGUGUAACUGUGUACAAGAUUUUUCAUAAUUCUUUAAUAAUUAUUUCUCUUGUUACAGUUUUCUUUUGUUUUCUAUUGCUAUCUAUUUGUAUUGUCUGUCGUAACAGGUAAAAUUCCACAGUGUUGGAUCAAUGAUAAUAGUAAUCAAUCAAUUAAACAGGUUAACUACGCCAGUAGUCAAUAACAGUUGACAAACAGGUUAAGACUUGCAACUCGAAAACUUUUGCACUGUUUCCAUGGUAAGUCAGUAUGUACUUGAGCAAAGCCCUAUAAAUAGGAGACCACAGACAGGUCUCAUGACCUAGGAUGUUGGUGGACAGGCUCAAAGUCUGGCUCAGAGUAAAUCCUACAAUUAGUAGUUCCGAGAGAGGAUCUGAUAAGGUGACAUGCAAUCCUUCUGCAAACAGCAUCGUCUCCCUUCAUGUUUCCCACUGGUUUCACUCUCCCAACACUAUAGUAGGGAAAAUGACAGAAAUGUGAGGGGUGAGGAAAACCAUGGAAAGUCACAUCAACACACCUGUUCAGGGAAGUGAGGGGUUUCGCCCACAAAAUGAUGAAAUGUUCCCGUGCAGUAAGAGGCAUCGAAAACGAGGCGAAACACUGCAGAAGAUGAACACAUGACUAACGCCCCAAGGCGCAAGUUGGUUUCUGUGAAAUACAAAAAAUACUUGAUUACUGUUAUAAUAUGUACCGACUAGCUGCCCAAAUUUGCACCAUAAAAUUGAAUGUUUCAACACAUUUAUAAAGUGGGUAUUUAAUGAAGCGGUUUGGGACUAGAACUGAAAUGGCGAUGCACAGAAUAGUGUUUAAUUGCAAGCAGUUAUAAAACCAGGUUCAAGUCCCAGGAGAAAUUCUGUUGUAUUUUUGAUUAAGGUACACUUGCUAGGAAACUGCAAAAUAGUUUUUUUGUAGGUAGGCAAACAAAAAUACAAUUAGCUCAAAUUUCCUAAGGCUCCAAAAAAAUGGCCAUUCACACUAUAAGUCAGAAAUAUUUCUGUUAUUUAUUUUAUUUUACUUUUUU